RNAcentral lists this ribosomal RNA (1266 nucleotides) under metagenome. RNAcentral describes it as "SSU rRNA". It matches the Rfam family "Eukaryotic small subunit ribosomal RNA", at positions 492 to 1790 of the family's 1831-position model. The record is from RNAcentral.
ACUUUGUGGCCUGUCAUCGGAAUGGGUACAAUUUAAAUCCUUUAAUGAGGAUCAAUUAGAGGGCAAGUCUGGUGCCAGCAGCCGCGGUAAUUCCAGCUCUAAUAGCGUAUAUUAAAGUUGUUGUGGUUAAAACGCCCGUAGUUGAUUUUUCGACUCUGGCAGUCGGUUGCCCGAAAGGGUCUUACUUGGCUUGUCGAGUCUGAAUUUGAGUUUUCUGCUGCUGCUCUUAAUUGAGUGACAGUAGUGACUCAACGUUUUACUUUGAAAAAAUUAGAGUGCUUAACGCAAGCUGUACGCUUGAAUAGAGUGCAUGGGAUAAUGGAAAAGGACUUCAGUUCUAUUUUGUUGGUUCUCGGAAUUGAAGUAAUGAUUAAGAGGAACUGACGGGGGCAUUCGUAUUGUUGCGUUAGAGGUGAAAUUCUUGGAUCGCAGCAAGACGAACAACUGCGAAAGCAUUUGCCAAGAAUGUUUUCAUUAAUCAAGGACGAAAGUUAGAGGUUCGAAGGCGAUCAGAUACCGCCCUAGUUCUAACCGUAAACGAUGCCAACUGGCCAUUCGUCGGUGUUAAUUUAUGACCCGACGGGCAGCUUCCGGGAAACCAAAGUUUUUUGGUUCCGGGGGAAGUAUGGUUGCAAAGCUUAAACUUAAAGGAAUUGACGGAAGGGCACCACCAGGAGUGGAGCCUGCGGCUUAAUUUGACCCAACACGGGAAAUCUCACCCGGCCAAGACACAAUGAGGAUUGACAGAUUGAUAGCUCUUUCUCGAUUUUGUGGGUGGUGGUGCAUGGCCGUUCUUAGUUGGUGGAGUGAUUUGUCUGGUUAAUUCCGAUAACGAACGAGACUCUGGCCUAUUAAAUAGGAGCGAUAUUUUUGGUAUCGUGUCCUUCUUAGAGGGACUGGUAGCUUCUAGCUACACGAGAUUGAGCAAUAACAGGUCUGUGAUGCCCUUAGAUGUCCGGGGCUGCACGCGCGCUACAAUGAAGGUAGCACAGUGCAAAUUACCUUGUCCGAAAGGACUUGGCAAUCACGAAUUACUUUCGUGCUUGGGAUAGGGAAUUGCAAUUAUUUCCCUUGAACGAGGAAUUUCUAGUAAGUGUGAGUCAUAAGCUCAUGUUGAUUACGUCCCUGCCCUUUGUACACACCGCCCGUCGCUACUACUGACUGGAAGAUUCAGUGAAACUAUUGGACCGGGUCGAGAUUGGCUUCGCGGCCGAGCUCUGAUCUAGAAAGAUAGUUAAACUGUAUGUUCUGAAAGAAGUAAAAGUC